UGCGGGUUAGAGCAGUGGAAGCUCGCUUGCCUCAUAAGCAAGAGGUCGGAAGUUCGAAUCUUCCACCCGCAA
RNAcentral lists this transfer RNA (72 nucleotides) under Lachnospiraceae bacterium. RNAcentral describes it as "tRNA-Met". It matches the Rfam family "tRNA". Rfam says of the family: Transfer RNA (tRNA) molecules are approximately 80 nucleotides in length. Their secondary structure includes four short double-helical elements and three loops (D, anti-codon, and T loops). The record is from RNAcentral. Lineage: Bacteria; Bacillati; Bacillota; Clostridia; Lachnospirales; Lachnospiraceae.